RNAcentral lists this ribosomal RNA (464 nucleotides) under uncultured bacterium. Its description in RNAcentral is "partial 16S ribosomal RNA". It matches the Rfam family "Bacterial small subunit ribosomal RNA", at positions 28 to 507 of the family's 1533-position model. The record is from RNAcentral.
GACGAACGCUGGCGGCGUGCCUAACACAUGCAAGUCGAGCGAAUGAAGUUCCUUCGGGAAUGGAUUUAGCGGCGGACGGGUGAGUAACACGUGGGCAACCUGCCUCAUAGAGGGGAAUAGCCUCCCGAAAGGGAGAUUAAUACCGCAUAAGAUUGUAGUACCGCAUGAUACAGCAAUUAAAGGAGCAAUCCGCUAUGAGAUGGGCCCGCGGCGCAUUAGCUAGUUGGUAAGGUAAUGGCUCACCAAGGCGACGAUGCGUAGCCGACCUGAGAGGGUGAUCGGCCACAUUGGGACUGAGACACGGCCCAGACUCCUACGGGAGGCAGCAGUGGGGAAUAUUGCACAAUGGGGGAAACCCUGAUGCAGCAACGCCGCGUGAGUGAUGACGGCCUUCGGGUUGUAAAGCUCUGUCUUCAGGGACGAUAAUGACGGUACCUGAGGAGGAAGCCACGGCUAACUACGUG